CGAACGCUGGCGGCGCGCCUAACACAUGCAAGUCGAACGAGCGAGAGAGAGCUUGCUUUCUCGAGCGAGUGGCGAACGGGUGAGUAACGCGUGAGGAACCUGCCUCAAAGAGGGGGACAACAGUUGGAAACGACUGCUAAUACCGCAUAAGCCCACGACCCGGCAUCGGGUUGAGGGAAAAGGAGCAAUCCGCUUUGAGAUGGCCUCGCGUCCGAUUAGCUAGUUGGUGAGGUAACGGCCCACCAAGGCGACGAUCGGUAGCCGGACUGAGAGGUUGAACGGCCACAUUGGGACUGAGACACGGCCCAGACUCCUACGGGAGGCAGCAGUGGGGAAUAUUGCACAAUGGGGGAAACCCUGAUGCAGCGACGCCGCGUGGAGGAAGAAGGUCUUCGGAUUGUAAACUCCUGUUGUUGAGGAAGAUAAUGACGGUACUCAACAAGGAAGUGACGGCUAACUACGUGCCAGCAGCCGCGGUAAAACGUAGGUCACAAGCGUUGUCCGGAAUUACUGGGUGUAAAGGGAGCGCAGGCGGGAAGGCAAGUUGGAAGUGAAAUCCAUGGGCUCAACCCAUGAACUGCUUUCAAAACUGUUUUUCUUGAGUAGUGCAGAGGUAGGCGGAAUUCCCGGUGUAGCGGUGGAAUGCGUAGAUAUCGGGAGGAACACCAGUGGCGAAGGCGGCCUACUGGGCACCAACUGACGCUGAGGCUCGAAAGUG
This 718-nucleotide ribosomal RNA is filed under the name uncultured Lachnospiraceae bacterium. RNAcentral describes it as "bacterial SSU rRNA". It matches the Rfam family "Bacterial small subunit ribosomal RNA", at positions 30 to 761 of the family's 1533-position model. The record is from RNAcentral. Lineage: Bacteria; Bacillati; Bacillota; Clostridia; Lachnospirales; Lachnospiraceae.